Molecule: long non-coding RNA, 1262 nt
Filed under: Sus scrofa (pig)
Lineage: Eukaryota; Metazoa; Chordata; Mammalia; Artiodactyla; Suidae
Description: lncRNA (ENSSSCG00055001550.1)
Source: RNAcentral
GCCGGCGGCGCUCCUGCCCGCUGAUUCGCAGCUGCCCGCGGCUCCCACGCUCUACUGCCCGGGUCCCUGCCCCGCGAGGCGCCCAAUUACCCGCUUACCUUCUGCCCUCACACCUGGCCUCCCGAAAGGCGCUUUCGUUGUCUCCGCCAGGCGGUGCAGUAGCUGAUGGAGAUGAAAGGCGUGAGGAGCUGCUUUGAGGACCAAAGCCGCGACAUCCCACCACCUGGCCAAGAGCACUGUUCGUGACCGACCCCUUGCCCUAAAUACCCGUCUGUAUUGCUCGGGACCCGCAGGAGCGACUCUCUGAAAGCGGCUGGCUCUGUGGGCCGGGGCGCUUCCCAGGGACUGGCCGCUGCUAUGUCUUUGCUUUAGGAGCCGAAGUGAAGCGACGGAAGACUGCUGUUGGUGCCUCCUGCGGUACCUGAACACGGGAGCGACCGGCGCGGGAUGCAGGGCGGUGACGCUAAAGCUUGUGCUUCUUUCUUCAGUGAAGGGACACAGCCACCUUGAGUUCCUGGACAGGAAAAGGGCUUCGAACGCCAAGAGCAAGGAUGGAGGCACUGAGAUGGAAAGCAGUUUUCAGCAAAGGAGGAAAAGCUUGGGAGCCUGGCAUUCACAGGGGUGUCUGCGGGCAUGUCUGCCCGAGGUCUGGGAGCAGGAAUGACAAGAGACCUCACACUCGGCAGCCUGGGGGCAGCUCCGGGGACCAGGAGCCGGGCCUUCGGAAGGAAAGAUCCCCGGGUCCCGGAGACAGCGGCUACACCACACAGGGCAGACGACCCGACUCCGACUGAACAGGUACGGCUGAAAGAGACCUCACGUGCCCUGGGUGGCACUGCACUGACCGACAGCUCUCAUCCCACAUUUGCCUGAACCCAGAGAAUGACAACGCCAAGAGCGAGCCCUGCUGCAGACCGUGGACUCUGGUCGUCUGGGUAGGUUCUGAGUGUGUGUGUGUGUGGGGGGGGGGGCGCGUUGGUAAUGGGGAGACUGUGCGAGCGGGGACAUGGGUGGACUUUAUUGGGAACCCCUGGACUUUCCUGUCCAUGUUGCUGUGAACCUUCAACUGCACCAAAAACUAAAAUCUAUUAAAAAAUACGUUAUAACCGCCACUUAGGAUAAUGCAGAUUUUCUUGCUCUUUCCAGAACCUCCAGAGACAGCUGUAAGAAAAUGAAUUGACUUUUGCUCAAAACACAGAAAUCCUCAGAACCAAAAAUAAUCCCAGGAAGGAAAUAAAAUACAAGACACGCAGAACUCCGCA